This 21-nucleotide non-coding RNA is filed under the name Arabidopsis thaliana (thale cress). Lineage: Eukaryota; Viridiplantae; Streptophyta; Magnoliopsida; Brassicales; Brassicaceae. The record is from RNAcentral.
UUGGCAUCUGAUGGGCUGAAA